Molecule: long non-coding RNA, 1042 nt
Organism: Cydia pomonella (codling moth)
Lineage: Eukaryota; Metazoa; Arthropoda; Insecta; Lepidoptera; Tortricidae
Exons: 2
Source: RefSeq, a predicted model, not a curated record
UUUCCAGGCAUGCAUCUGCAGCUACGGGCAAGUCUGUCCAUGUAGGUUGCCAGCUUUCACUGACUUUUCUCCAUCCCCAGUUAGAUGGACAGGGAAGAUUUUGAUUCGGUGACAUCUGACCCCAUACAUGGACUGCUUGGAACACUGCCCGCAGGAAAUGCUGGUAUAGAGCAGCUUUCGUCGGAGGUAUAUUCUCCAAUUGGCGGUCUUUUUUCGAGAAUAGGUGCUUUCGGGCUUUGUUUACGGUUGUAAAUGAACUGGCUCUAAAACAAAACAAAAAAAUUAGUUACUAGACUAUUUUAUUGUAUUGCUAGUUUUAAAAAGUGCUUAUUACCUGUCAUAUAAAAUGACGACAAACUUUUCGAUUACUGUAAAAAAUAGAAUGCACUGAGACUAUAACGCUAGGCGGGCUAUAUAAAACAUAUUAUUUUCUUUUACAGGGCCACAAAAAGCGAAAGUCCUCCCCCUGUUCCAUGCCUUCACAGGUUGUGAUACUGUGUCCUAUUUUAACGGGAAAGGAAAAAAAAGUGCAAUAGAUGCAUGGAACGCAUUUCCCAAUGCCACAGAAGGGUUUCUGGCAGCAUAUGAGGGGAGUACUAGCGAGGCGUUUACAGUAAUCGAAAAGUUUGUCGUCAUUUUAUAUGACAGAGCCAGUUCAUUUACAACCGUAAACGAAGCCCGAAAGCACCUAUUCUCGAAAAAAGACCGCCAAUUGGAGAAUAUACCUCCGACGAAAGCUGCUCUAUACCAGCAUUUCCUGCGGGCAGUGUUCCAAGCAGUCCAUGUAUGGGGUCAGAUGUCACCGAAUCAAAAUCUUCCCUGUCCAUCUAACUGGGGAUGGAGAAAAGUCAGUGAAAGCUGGCAACCUACAUGGACAGACUUGCCCGUAGCUGCAGAUGCAUGCCUGGAAAUGAUCCGGUGCAGAUGCAAAAAGAGGUGCGGCGGCUCGAGGUGCCGGUGCUUUCAGCGGCAACUUAAGUGCACGGAGCUUUGCGAUUGUGGGGGACAAUGUAAAUAAUAAACAUUUUUAAGUAAAAUUCUA